AGAGUUUGAUCCUGGCUCAGGACGAACGCUGGCGGCGUGCUUCAUACAUGCAAGUCGAACGAGGUCCAUCGAGUCGGCAACACUCGUGAAGACCUAGUGGCGAACGGGUGAGUAACACGUGAGGAACCUGCCCCGAUCUCUGGGAUAACAGUGGGAAACCGCUGCUAAUACCAGAUGUGCUCGGAAGACGACAUCGCCUACCGAGGAAAGCUUUUGCGGACCGGGAGGGCCUCGCGGCCUAUCAGCUAGUUGGUGGGGUAACGGCCUACCAAGGCGUCGACGGGUAGCUGGUCUGAGAGGACGACCAGCACACUGGGACUGAGACACGGCCCAGACUCCUACGGGAGGCAGCAGUAGGGAAUCUUGCGCAAUGGGCGAAAGCCUGACGCAGCAACGCCGCGUGGAGGAUGAAGGCCCUCGGGUUGUAAACCCCUUUCAGCAGGAACGAAAAUGACGGUACCUGCAGAAGAAGGUCCGGCCAACUACGUGCCAGCAGCCGCGGUA
Molecule: ribosomal RNA, 504 nt
Filed under: uncultured Actinomycetes bacterium
Lineage: Bacteria; Bacillati; Actinomycetota; Actinomycetes
Description: bacterial SSU rRNA
Rfam family: Bacterial small subunit ribosomal RNA
Source: RNAcentral